AUCACUUAAAUUAAUUAUCAAAAUGAAUUAAGUUUUUGGCGCUUGAUUUGAACCACUAAUCAGAUAAUAGAUAUUAAAAUUUAAAUCUUAUGGGCCAUGGCAUAACGUUUUAAAAUUUCACAUUUUCACGAUUCACGGAUAAAUGACACAAGUCACGUCGUUAAUAAUUUUCUUCAGUACUUCAAAAUUUUCAAGUUACAAGUUGCGAAUUAUUGUUGAUGAUUAUUAAAUAAUGUUCGAUAUAUUUCAACAUUAACACCAACUAAAUUAUAAAAAAAAACGAUAAAUCGAAACGUUUAAAACCAGAAAGGCAACGGUUGUGGAUUAAAUUGCCCAAGCAAUCUCUACACAAGCAUUUGUGUCCACAAGGAAUGCAUGCGUGGCUGUUGACAUUGCUUAAACAAAUAACGCAGCAAUCGGCGGGUCUUGGUUCAACUCCAUUGAUAUCGAGAGGAACAUGAGGGAUGUUUUCCCUGUCUUGAGCCCUCCUCUGUUCCUCAAUUUCCGCCAUAGCAAUGAACACCGGAUCAUCAUCCUCUGCUAAUACAAAAUCAGGUUCAUCUAGAUUAUAAUAAAAUACAGGAAAUCAUACUUGGGCCAUAUGGAACCAGCAUUUCUGUAAUCUGACUCUGGAAAAAACGUUGGUCAACGCAUUGCUCAACCCUACUUCGUAGUCAGUGACAAUGUUACUUGCACUAAUCCCCGGAACACAAGUCUUAAUAUGGUCCAAUACACUUGUGUACGCCAUUUGAGUUUUUCGGGUCAUUAAUGCGUAUGCAACGGGAAAUGCCUGUUAAAAUAAAUAAAAUAGUUAGGGAUGGAGAUAUGAAAACGACUGCUGAUCCAGCGUCAGGAGGACCCAUGACGAACCCUCUGAACAUUUCUCGUCCAUUAGCAGUUUUGAAUAAAUGAACGUAUCGAGCAUCUACC
Metopolophium dirhodum (rose-grain aphid) is the source of this 930-nucleotide long non-coding RNA. RefSeq lists it as uncharacterized. The transcript has 4 exons. Lineage: Eukaryota; Metazoa; Arthropoda; Insecta; Hemiptera; Aphididae. The record is from RefSeq and is a predicted model, not a curated record.